Parelaphostrongylus tenuis is the source of this 74-nucleotide non-coding RNA. NCBI's taxonomy places the organism in Eukaryota, Metazoa, Nematoda, Chromadorea, Rhabditida, Metastrongylidae. The record is from the annotation of a GenBank genome assembly.
GCAUUGGUGGUGCAACGGUUAUAGCAUAUACUCCCGGAAAGAGUGAGAUCUGGGUUCGAAUCUUGGCUGACGCG